UACGUAGGGUCCGCGCGUUGUCCGGAAUUACUGGGCGUAAAGAGCUCGUAGGUGGUUUGUCGCGUUGUCCGUGAAAACUCACAGCUUAACUGUGGGCGUGCGGGCGAUACGGGCAGACUGGAGUACUGCAGGGGAGACUGGAAUUCCUGGUGUAGCGGUGGAAUGCGCAGAUAUCAGGAGGAACACCGGUGGCGAAGGCGGGUCUCUGGGCAGUAACUGACGCUGAGGAGCGAAAGCGUGGGGAGCGAACAGG
RNAcentral lists this ribosomal RNA (253 nucleotides) under uncultured bacterium. RNAcentral's name for it is "partial 16S ribosomal RNA". It matches the Rfam family "Bacterial small subunit ribosomal RNA", at positions 524 to 776 of the family's 1533-position model. The record is from RNAcentral.